This 449-nucleotide ribosomal RNA is filed under the name uncultured bacterium. Its description in RNAcentral is "bacterial SSU rRNA". It matches the Rfam family "Bacterial small subunit ribosomal RNA", at positions 328 to 792 of the family's 1533-position model. The record is from RNAcentral.
CUGCCAGACUCCUACGGGAGGCAGCAGUGGGGAAUAUUGGGCAAUGGGCGCAAGCCUGACCCAGCAACGCCGCGUGAAGGAAGAAGGCUUUCGGGUUGUAAACUUCUUUUGACAGGGAAGAGCAGAAGACGGUACCUGUCGAAUAAGCCACGGCUAACUACGUGCCAGCAGCCGCGGUAAUACGUAGGUGGCAAGCGUUGUCCGGAUUUACUGGGUGUAAAGGGCGUGUAGCCGGGCUUACAAGUCAGAUGUGAAAUCCGGGGGCUCAACCCCCGAACUGCAUUUGAAACUGGGGAUCUAGAGUGUGCGAGAGGUAUGCGGAAUGCGUGGUGUAGCGGUGAAAUGCAUAGAUAUCACGCAGAACCCCGAUUGCGAAGGCAGCAUACCGGUGCACAACUGACGCUCAGGCACGAAAGCGUGGGUAUCGAACAGGAUUAGAUACCCCCGUA